ACGUCUUGAGCAGCCUCUCGAUGACGGUCCGAUCCACAAGGCUAUCGUCCACGGCCAGGACAUGAAUCUGCGAAGAAGAGGAAGAGGAAGAAGAAGUCGAAGAUCUUGCGCGGUGCUGCUGGCAGCUCCAUUGGACCGCUUCACCCGCCUCCCCAUUUGCUCGCUUCGCUCGAUCGAUCGAUACGAUUGACGAAGUUAUGAACACCACCACCACGAAGAAGAAGAAGGAGACCAAAACUCUCUCGCGCUCGCUCGCUCGCUCGCUCUUCCUCUUCCUCGAGAAAGCGAAAGUGAGGAAACCCCCGCGCCUGUAAGUCGCUAAGCUCGCUAUUCCUUCGUUCCGAGAAGAACUCGCUACCUAGCUAAAAAACCGGGGAGAGAGAGAGAAGAAGAAGAAGAAGAAGAAAUGAUCAAUGGUGACACGGAUCGAACAAAUUCCGGACGAGGAGAUCAGAUCAUCAGAUCCUGCGGGUGAAACAAAGCUAUGCUAAAACCUCGCGACUCGCGGCCCUCUAUUUUCUCAUUUCCCCUCUUUUU
Molecule: long non-coding RNA, 537 nt
Organism: Selaginella moellendorffii
Lineage: Eukaryota; Viridiplantae; Streptophyta; Lycopodiopsida; Selaginellales; Selaginellaceae
Exons: 2
Source: RefSeq, a predicted model, not a curated record